UCGAGGGGCAGCAUAAAAAUAGCUUGCUAUUUUGGUGGCGACCGGCGCACGGGUGCGUAACGCGUAUGCAAUCUACCCUAUACUGAGGGAUAGCCCGGAGAAAUUCGGAUUAAUACCUCAUAGUAUUUAUGAAUCGCAUGGUUUAUAAAUUAAAGGUUACGGUAUAGGAUGAGCAUGCGUCCCAUUAGCUAGAUGGUAAGGUAACGGCUUACCAUGGCAACGAUGGGUAGGGGGCCUGAGAGGGUAGUCCCCCACACUGGUACUGAGACACGGACCAGACUCCUACGGGAGGCAGCAGUGAGGAAUAUUGGUCAAUGGGCGCAAGCCUGAACCAGCCAUGCCGCGUGAAGGAAGAAGGAUCUAUGGUUUGUAAACUUCUUUUAUUUAGGAAUAAACUCUCGGACGUGUCCGAGCCUGAAGGUACUAAAUGAAUAAGCACCGGCUAACUCCGUGCCAGCAGCCGCGGUAAUACGGAGGGUGCAAGCGUUAUCCGGAAUCAUUGGGUUUAAAGGGUCCGCAGGCGGUCUUAUAAGUCAGUGGUGAAAUCUCGUAGCUUAACUAUGAAACUGCCAUUGAUA
RNAcentral lists this ribosomal RNA (578 nucleotides) under uncultured Bacteroidota bacterium. RNAcentral describes it as "bacterial SSU rRNA". It matches the Rfam family "Bacterial small subunit ribosomal RNA", at positions 62 to 632 of the family's 1533-position model. The record is from RNAcentral. Lineage: Bacteria; Pseudomonadati; Bacteroidota.